ACAACUUUCAACAACGGAUCUCUUGGCUCUCGCAUCGAUGAAGAACGCAGCGAAAUGCGAUACGUAAUGUGAAUUGCAGAAUUCAGUGAAUCAUCGA
This 97-nucleotide ribosomal RNA is filed under the name Mallorcan basidiomycete 04. RNAcentral's name for it is "partial 5.8S ribosomal RNA". It matches the Rfam family "5.8S ribosomal RNA", at positions 1 to 95 of the family's 154-position model. From Rfam's summary of the family: 5.8S ribosomal RNA (5.8S rRNA) is a component of the large subunit of the eukaryotic ribosome. It is transcribed by RNA polymerase I as part of the 45S precursor that also contains 18S and 28S rRNA. Functionally, it is thought that 5.8S rRNA may be involved in ribosome translocation. The record is from RNAcentral. Lineage: Eukaryota; Fungi; Basidiomycota.